RNAcentral lists this ribosomal RNA (440 nucleotides) under uncultured bacterium. RNAcentral's name for it is "partial 16S ribosomal RNA". It matches the Rfam family "Bacterial small subunit ribosomal RNA", at positions 338 to 795 of the family's 1533-position model. The record is from RNAcentral.
CCUACGGGUGGCAGCAGUGGGGAAUAUUGCACAAUGGGGGAAACCCUGAUGCAGCGACGCCGCGUGAGUGAAGAAGUAUUUCGGUAUGUAAAGCUCUAUCAGCAGGGAAGAAAAUGACGGUACCUGACUAAGAAGCCCCGGCUAACUACGUGCCAGCAGCCGCGGUAAUACGUAGGGGGCAAGCGUUAUCCGGAUUUACUGGGUGUAAAGGGAGCGUAGACGGCCAGACAAGUCAGAAGUGAAAGCCCAGGGCUCAACCCUGGGACUGCUUUUGAAACUGCCGGGCUGGAGUGCAGGAGGGGCAGGCGGAAUUCCUGGUGUAGCGGUGAAAUGCGUAGAUAUCAGGAGGAACACCGGCGGCGAAGGCGGCCUGCUGGACCGCGACUGACGUUGAGGCUCGAAAGCGUGGGGAGCGAACAGGAUUAGAUACCCUGGUAGUC